UUUUCGUGGACAAACUUUUCAGGAACGCACAAAGUAACCUAGCAUAGUCCUCCUCUUCCUCUGGAUCAUCGAUAAUCCUCUUCUUCCUCCGAUUCAUCGAUUCAGUUAGUGUUCUUCUACCUCAGUCCUCUUCUUACUCCGAUUGAUGCACUGUUCGCCUCCGAUUUCCACUCGAAUAGAAAGAACGGAGAAAACUCAAUCUCCGCCGGACUCAGCCUUCCUCAGCUCACCACCGUCAUCUUUCUGUUCAUUUGUAUUUGAAGCAAAAGUCGGCAUUGAGGGUUUAUAAGAAGAAGAAAUACUUGCCUUUGGAUUUGCGUCCUAAAAAGAUAAGAGCUAUUAGAAGACGUCUCACCAAGAAUCAGUUGUGUUACUUGAUGCAAUUCAUCUGCAAUUUGGUCUUAUUUGAUGGUUACAGUUGAAAAUUGCAAUAGUCCCGUUCGGAUUCUUGUCAUGUAAGUGUUUUGGUUCUCUUCAUUUUGUCAACUUCAAUAUUUUGGUUUUUUUUUGAAUUUUUUUAACUUGGUUUGAAUUAGCAUUAGUCUCUAGCUGAAUCACAUUGAUAACAUUUUGUAUUCAUAUUAUUCAAUGCAAUUCGUCUGUAACCUAGGGUAUACUUUAACUUUUAGCAUAAAAAUUUGGUGUGCUCUGAAUAUUUUGGAUCAUAGUUGUUCGGUUUGUGCUUUGUCAUUGCUUCAGUUCAUGUUCAUGUCAUCUCCAUUUUUUGCUAUAUAUAUUUAAACAUGAAAAGCUUUGACUAUCCUUUUUUACUAAACCAUGCUGAGCUUUGAUUUACAAAAAUGACUAAUUUGUGUUCUUAAUAUUCUGAUUCAAAACACUGUAUUGCAGAUUGAUUCUCUAUUCAUUUGCUAAUACAGAUGUAAAGACUCUUAAUUUUUUAUUAACUGCUUUUGUAAUGUAAUGCUAAUUAGACCAAAUGCAA
Long non-coding RNA from Vicia villosa (hairy vetch), 943 nucleotides. RefSeq lists it as uncharacterized. The record is from RefSeq and is a predicted model, not a curated record. The transcript is spliced from 3 exons. Lineage: Eukaryota; Viridiplantae; Streptophyta; Magnoliopsida; Fabales; Fabaceae.